RNAcentral lists this long non-coding RNA (2812 nucleotides) under Panicum hallii. RNAcentral's name for it is "long non-coding RNA (PHAL_LNC000964)". The record is from RNAcentral. Lineage: Eukaryota; Viridiplantae; Streptophyta; Magnoliopsida; Poales; Poaceae.
UACCCCAAGGUUUGCCCUAAUCCACUGAAUCUUUCUAAUGCCGGCGAUUUCUUUGCCGGAAUAUCGUCGUUAACCUCCUGUUAUCUGUUUUCCCAGACCAGGGACUUGAUUGCUAUGUUUUAGAAAUUUCUAGGGUGCUCUUUGUAAAAUUGCCAAAGCUUGCUGUAUUUCAAAUCGAUGAACUUCUACAUUUCAUAGAUUUUCGCAGGAAGUUCAUAAAAAUGCAAAAUCAGUUUUGUUUGAAACCCUAGGUUGAAAUCUACAAGUUUUAUGUUGUGAUCUUGAGUGAAAGUCUUUGAUUUGUGGUCUAGGUUAAAUAUUAGGAAAUGAAUGCUUGAUUUGUGUCUUUUGUGAUAUGCAUGUGUUGUAGCUUAACAUAGAUCAUAAGCUGUAGGUCUCAAGUACAGAUGUGUGAUCUCUAGUUAAUCUUUUCACACGAGUACUCAGAUUCUUGCCAUCCAAACUCUGUCGUCGUUUUGAUGACCUUUUCCUUAAGGUUCUCUUCGUAUAAAAAUCCUUAUUAGUCCAUGUGCAUCUGCUGCUUAGCCACUAGCAGCUGUGUUCCAUUGGCGGCUAUUAGUUCAGCUGCUAAGCAUCUGUUUUCCUUGAGUCUAGGAUGUUUCUGCAUAACAGCAGUCAGUCGAUACUUCUAUCAUCGACCGAUUAGCUGAUAUGGUUGUUACCUUUCUAGUAUCAGCUACUGCCGAUACAAUUCUUUUGAUCUGUUCUGUAUCGACUGCACAGAGUCGAUGUAUCGGAGAAACACACACGAUCUUAGGGUUUUUGCCAUCGGCUGACCCAAGCCGAUUUUAGUUGCUUUUCUAUAUCGGUCAAACACGGCCGAUCGAUCCUUAGUUUCCGCUUCCUUAUCCACAUACUUCUAUCAGUCGAUUUAUCGACUAAAAGAUCGGCUAUCUGUCUAUCGGUCAUGUACCCUCAACCACACUCCAAUCGGCUGUACGUCACUCAAUAGUUGUGCUGGCGUAAUCGAGUCGAUGCAACCACACUUAGUUAUCUAGAAUAACCCUUAAGCACAUCUCAGUUAGGACACGACUGCUUUAGGAAUCAUCCCUCUACUGAAGUAAUCAAUGUUUUCAUCAAUCGUCUAGAAACCCGAUGUAUCUUUCUAUCAGCUAAACCUCCGUUGUUUCCAAUCGGCUCUGUUGUGAUCUUCAACGAGCAGCCGAUUCUGGUUAGUUGUCCCCCUAAAGCUCUAUCUAGGUUUAGUUCAGAUCUUUUUGGUUAAUAUGUGAAUAGUAUGUUGUAUGAAUGCUGGAUUGCAAUUGAAUUGUGAAGUAAGGUAGUUUUAUGUGCACGCUUGAAUGUAAUGUUGCAUUACAUGUAGAUACGACUACUUCGGCAACGUUACCUACGAGAUCUCCCCGGAGUCUACGGAGGAUGUUCCUGAAGACCGAGUGAAUGUCACCAAGAGAUCAACUGAAGCCCCGAACCAAAGUUCGGAAGAUGUUGACUUACUGACUUCAGACCCACCAGUAAAGGCAAGCCCCGGACAUAACCCCUUAUUUUAAUUAUACAGCAAUCUAUAUCUAUUUACGUAUUCUAUGCACUAAGUUCUUAGGAAUUGCUUGAAACCCUAGUUGCAUUUCCCUAGGAACCAAUGUGAUGAAUACUAGCACUUGAGUCCGACUAGCUGCUAUGCUAAUAGGGCCGGUAAAAGUCGGGUGAUUUCCUGUCACUCGCGCGAUAUAGGAGUUGUAAUGUUUACAUUCCUGUUACCACUAUAAGGAUGCCGGACGGGAGUUUUGUGCGGUAUCAUGGUCGAGAUGAUACCCCGUCUGUGUUGAUGAAUCUGAUAAGGUCGCAGUGUGUGGUAGUGCGGGUUAAGCGUUUGAAAGUACUAGCCACAUGCCGUGAGUUAUGGGUAAGCGGUAAGCCUAGUAGCCAAUCGGCCCGAGGAGUGGACAUACCUCCCACCACAUGUAUUUGGUUCUUCUGGUUACUUAUGUUCGAUUGGGGAAAUACGUGUUGCAAGGGCAACCAGGAAUACGGGUUUUGUAGUCGCGCUACAGACGUAUGUCCUGCACUUUGGGAGUGCGUAUGUUCCUGCAGUCGCUUGUGGUGGACCUGUCCACGAGUCGGAAUGAAAGGCAAACGGUUGCUUCGGAACUAUCGUUGGAUGUUCCAAGCGUGUGAGUUAGGUUUACCUUGCAAGGUUGAAAAUUCGAUUCUGAAUCGUCCGCCUCUCACGAAGAUUGAGACUGCUUAAUCCCUUUAUCACAUAGAGUAACAAGAGCAACAUUAUGGUUAUCAAAGAUGAUGCUUGACCAAAGAUUAUACCAUGCUUGCUUAGUUAUAGGUGCUUACCUAGAAUGGAUAAUUAACUAGAAUCUGAAAGCUAAAACUUGAAGUUAAGGAUCUACUCUUUGUUGCUUUUCAGCUGAAACUAAACCCAAAACCAUUAUGAGCUCUCAUAAGUCUAGUUAUGGGCUAAGUAUACCCAAUCCCGAGUAAGCCUUGCUGAGUAUUAGUAUACUCAGCCUUGCUAGCUUUAUGUUUUUCAGGUAAAGCCUUUGAAGACCCUAUUCUUCCCUUGUCAUGGCCCUGUGCUUUUCCAGAAGAUUGGUCCGAGGAAUGGGAUCCGUCCCCGACCAAUACUGAUGAUCUCGAGUGAUGUCGUGUCUGGGCUUAGCAUGACAUCCACCUUGAUGACGUGUUGUAAUUCUUCGCGUAUGUUUUCCGCUGCUUUUAACCCUAGUUUUACAGUUUGUAAUCUUUUCUCUAAAUGUGAAACUUCAUACUUCUUUUGGAAACUCUUGUAAUGUAAUUCUCUAUGAUGUAAAAUAUGAUGGUG